Non-coding RNA from Podarcis muralis (Common wall lizard), 1054 nucleotides. NCBI's taxonomy places the organism in Eukaryota, Metazoa, Chordata, Lepidosauria, Squamata, Lacertidae. The record is from RefSeq and is a predicted model, not a curated record.
GGGAGGAGAGAUGGGGGGGAAGGCGGCGCGCCCUGGGCGACUGUUUCUCCGCUUGAAUGGCGCGCGCGGAUUGCAAAAAGUCAGCAGAGGAGUUCUAGAGGGGGAAAAAGAAGGCAACUUUGGAAGUUACGCACAACUUGCAGAAUUAUUCGUAUGUUUAUGCAGAGGUAAUCCUGUGGUUCUUCAGAAGUUGGUGGACUACAACUCCCAUCAGCCCCACUCAGCACAGCCCGUGGUCAAGGAUGGUAGGAAUCAUAGACUAGCACAUCUGAAAGGUCACAGGUUCUUCCUGCUUGCUGUUGGAGAUGGGAAUAUACUGGGCUUGUAUUUUCACCUUGUUAUUUGGCAACCCUAGAGUACAGUCCAGACACAUUUCCAUUUGCAGUGACACACCAUAGCUUUAUUGGGACUCAAGUAUGUCUGGAAUCCUCACUGUCUGGUUUGGAACAUUCAGGAAAACAAGGGGAGGCUGGUUGAGAGAACCGUAGUCUUCACAUGCUUAGAAGCCCAGCCUUAUUUGCGCGUGCUAGGACUGGAAUUCAAAACCUCAGGAUUGUGUGACUCUGCACUGCCCCCACUUAAGCCCUGCACUUUCCCCAAAUCUGACUGUAGAUCCUAACCCUGCUUGAUCUGUAAGUAAGCUCCAUUGAAUUUAGUGGACCUCUGAGCACUCACGGUUAUGAUGUUCCCAUAGUUUCAAUUACCCCAUCUCGUUUUCCUUGGCUUGAAACAUAAGAUUUGGCUUUAGAUUACAUAUGUUUGCUAAAGCAGCUAGUGGGACAUGGAUGUGUUUAUUGAAAUGGAAGGGCAGCCUGAUGCCACCUUUGAUUGCAAAUGGCUGUCUGUUGCAGCCAGGCUUCUAAUGUAAUGUGCUAGUUCAGCAAAGAUUACCAGUGUCGAAGCAAUGAUUCUUCAACAUCAACUUUAUUGGGCAGGUCAUGCUGUUUAGAUGCCUGAUUAUUAUCUUCCAAAGGUGCUCUUAAGGCAAAUCUUUAAAAAUGUAGUAUAAAUACCGACAACUGGGAAACAUUGGCCUGCAAGCGCUCCAAUUGGA